CCUACGGGGGGCAGCAGUGAGGAAUAUUGGUCAAUGGACGAGAGUCUGAACCAGCCAAGUAGCGUGAAGGAUGACUGCCCUAUGGGUUGUAAACUUCUUUUAUAAAGGAAUAAAACGAGGCACGUGUGCCUUUUUGCAUGUACUUUAUGAAUAAGGAUCGGCUAACUGCGUGCCAGCAGCCGCGGUAAUACGGAGGAUCCGAGCGUUAUCCGGAUUGAUUGGGUUUAAAGGGAGCGUAGAUGGGUUGUUAAGUCAGUUGUGAAAGUUUGCGGCUCAACCGUAAAAUUGCAAUUGAUACUGGCAGUCUUGAGUACAGUUGAGGUAAGCGGAAUUCGUGGGGUAGCGGUGAAAUGCUUAGAUAUCACGAAGAACCCCGAUUGCGAAGGCAGCUUACUAAACUGUGACUGACAUUGAUGCUCGAAAGUGUGGGUAUCAAACAGGAUUAGAUACCCCUGUAGUC
RNAcentral lists this ribosomal RNA (460 nucleotides) under uncultured bacterium. RNAcentral's name for it is "partial 16S ribosomal RNA". It matches the Rfam family "Bacterial small subunit ribosomal RNA", at positions 338 to 795 of the family's 1533-position model. The record is from RNAcentral.